Long non-coding RNA from Fundulus heteroclitus (mummichog), 358 nucleotides. RefSeq lists it as uncharacterized. The transcript is spliced from 2 exons. Lineage: Eukaryota; Metazoa; Chordata; Actinopteri; Cyprinodontiformes; Fundulidae. The record is from RefSeq and is a predicted model, not a curated record.
UGAUUGCCCCUGCCUUCAUCCUGCUGGAUAAAACUGUCCUGACCGCCGUCCAUUUCAUCCGGUUUCAGCGGCUGUUCUGGGGCUGUGAGUUUCUUUAAGCAUUGGAGGCUGUGACCUCGGAGUAAACCUGCUUGGAUGUCAGUUUCCGGAAAGACCAGCAACUCUCUUGAAUGUUUUCCACUUGUAAACAAUCUGUCUCACUGCAAAGAAGAUGGCCUGGGAAUUGUUUGCAAAUUACCUUAUAACCCCCGGCAGAUUGACGCAGAGCAGCAAUUGCUUCUCUAAGUUCAGUGUUGAACCUUCUCCUCCUUGCCAUUGAGUUAACAGACACCUGAAGGCUACAGUGAAUAAAAGUUUU